Molecule: ribosomal RNA, 467 nt
Filed under: uncultured bacterium
Lineage: Bacteria
Description: partial 16S ribosomal RNA
Rfam family: Bacterial small subunit ribosomal RNA
Source: RNAcentral
GACGAACGCUGGCGGCGUGCUUAACACAUGCAAGUCGAACGGAAAGGCCCUGCUUUGUGGGGUGCUCGAGUGGCGAACGGGGGAGUAACACGUGAGUAACCUGCCCUUGACUUUGGGAUAACUUCAGGAAACUGGGGCUAAUACCGGAUAGGAGCUCCUGCUGCAUGGUGGGGGUUGGAAAGUUUCGGCGGUUGGGGAUGGACUCGCGGCUUAUCAGCUUGUUGGUGGGGUAGUGGCUUACCAAGGCUUUGACGGGUAGCCGGCCUGAGAGGGUGACCGGCCACAUUGGGACUGCGAUACGGCCCAGACUCCUACGGGAGGCAGCAGUGGGGAAUAUUGCACAAUGGGCGGAAGCCUGAUGCAGCAACGCCGCGUGCGGGAUGACGGCCUUCGGGUUGUAAACCGCUUUCGCCUGUGACGAAGCGUGAGUGACGGUAAUGGGUAAAGAAGCACCGGCUAACUACGUG